This 19326-nucleotide long non-coding RNA is filed under the name Ananas comosus (pineapple). RNAcentral's name for it is "long non-coding RNA (ACOM_LNC035305)". The record is from RNAcentral. Lineage: Eukaryota; Viridiplantae; Streptophyta; Magnoliopsida; Poales; Bromeliaceae.
AUCACUCUUGUACCGGUACAACAGCUCCAGAAUAUUAUUUUCGCUUUGUUUCGGCUCCAUUUCACGCCGAUCGAUGUCAAAACCAUUCCAACACCUUUAGAACUCAUUUUUGCUCUUCCAAACCUGUUGGAAUGCCGAAUGGAACUUGUCCAAACCGUUCAAUCGCCCACUUUCGCCCAUUUGGCCAAAGUUAGCCAAUAUCGUCAAAUUUCGAUAUCUCACAUGUUCUCACCUCCCCCAGUAUUUUUCAGGUAUCGCGGGCGAUGAGUAGUGGGACGAGAUGUGAGGUACGUGUGUAGCGGUCAAUAGAGCUUCCGACCCAGGUUAUUUCGGUAUAGUUAUUACCCUUAUUAUUUCAGUUGUUAUAGCUUAGAUAGUUUAUAUGGUUCAAUAGUUUUAUUACAUUUGAAAAUAUGGGUUUUCAUGAAUGUAAUAAACUGGUUUGUGAAUUUUGUAAAAUAAAAAGUUUUUUACCCCUCGUGGUAGCGUUUAAAAAAAAAAAAAGAUAAAAGUUCCUAUGUAGGAACAGUUUUCAAAAGGUUUUCUGUGGAUUUUGUAUCUUAAUAUUUCAAAACCUGUUUCUGUGGUUGGAAACAUUUUAACUGAUAGAUGCGGAUUUAUGUUUAAAGAUUGAAUGUUAUAAAUGUGAAACUGUGGUGAAUGGUGUAUGAAUGUAUAACUGUUGGUUAUUUGUAUGUUCAUCUGGUUGUGGUUGUAUCAUGUUUGAACUCUUGUACUUGUGCGACGCCGUGCAAAUACAGGAGAGACUCUAUCCGUGUGAACAGUGGAUCUCCUGUAUUUGUGGCGGAUCUGGCAUACCCUGGGGUCAGGUUUUCAAAAAAAAAAAAAUAAAUUCAGACGUUUUUCCGCUAUGCUUUAAACUAAAAAGGGACCCCGGGGCGUGACACAUCGAAAAAUUGAUCUUUACUAUUUUGUAUGUAAUUGAUUUUUUCUGUUGCUAUAAAUAGUUCUACAUGAUCUUUUUGUUAAAUAGUUUUUCAAGCAUACUUGUUCUAACUAGUUCUUCGAGCACAUGUAUGUUUACUGUUAAUAGGAACGUAGUGCCAAAAAUAAAGCUAGUCGUGCAUUGCUAAGUACCACACAUACAGCUGGCACAAAAAGCUUUGCGAGGGUCCAUGCUGAGGUAAACUUAAUCCUCUCAAUUAUAGUCUUUUCAUUACUAACACUUUUAUAGAUUUUUGAUUGUUAUUGAAAGUUUAAUUUCUAAAUAUUGUUAGAUGGCAAAGAAAAAUAAUCAUAUUCAGCCGAGAAGACAUGAACUCUACAUAAGAAUACACACGAAGAAGAAUGACAAGCCUUUAAAUGAGUUUUGCUCAAAAAUAAUUGUAUGCCUUUACAUUUAGACAAAUUUUACAUUUUAUGAAAAAUGUUUCAAUUAGUCAAUUUAGUUUUCUUACUUUUUACAGAAAAAUAUUGGAGAUUUGGCUCCAUUACAUCUUGAAGUUGCACAAAAAAGUCCAUCCCGAAAUGACCUUUUAUCUUUGCUAAUUAAAGAAAAACGUUCACUACUUCAUUGUCAUGGGUUGGGUCCUAUUCCGGAUGAAUUUCGAAAAUCAAAGACAACUCGUGCUGAUUAUAUUCGAAUGCUUUCUGAGACCAAAAAAGAAGCCGAGGAGGAGAAACGUGUAAUGCAAGAAGAAUUAGCAGAUAUGAAACAAAAGUAUGAAGAUAUGCACAAUGAAAUGAUGACAAUGAAAGCAAUUUUAGUAGAAUCAAUAGGUAAAAAGGCUCAAAUAUUAGGGAGAAGGAAUAUCAUGCAUUCCACAAGGCCACAAGCUAGUAAGAAUAAUUUUUAAGCUAUUUUGUUUUAUGAUGUAUAUGAAAACUAAUAUAAUAUUAAUUCUUUCUUUCUAAUCUAGAGUGGCACCGUUUUCCUCGAUGAUAGAUCACCUCCUAAUAAUGGGCAAGCUCUUUCUCACUCUAGUUAUGAAGCACACCAACUCAGGUAUUUUUGUAAUCUUAAAUGACUUUCUUGAAUAAUUUUAUGAAAGUUUAGAAUUUUCAACAAAAUUAAUUAGUUCUAUUUUUUCUAAUCAUUUAGAUGCUUAGAGAGAUAAUUAAUAGCUAUUGCUACUUUAUUAGUUAGUUUAGCUUCUAUUUUCGAUAAAGUGAAAUCAUAGUUGUUUAUUUUUCUUUUUAAAGUAUAAACUAAUUUUAGAUCCUAAAUUUGUUAAUAUCCAAUUAUAUCGCAGGUACAUCGAGUUAAGACUACCUCCCAAGGAAAGUAAAGUUAUAUCAAAUAUUGUGGUUAUCUUCUAUUUUUUCUUCAAUCUCUUAUUCUUUCUAAGCUUUCAUGAUAAUUAUUUUCUAUGCAAUAUAUAUAUUUUAAAUUGUUAAUUUGUUUAUUCUUGUAUUAUUAGAUUGGGACUAGAAGUUUAUUAAGAAGUUUAAAAAAGCCUCACAAUUAUGUAGCACAAGGUUAUCUUUUGAGUAAAGACCCAACUACAAAAGUAGGUGGGUUUGAAUUAGGACACAAUAUUGGAAGAUUCAAGUUGAUCUGCGCAAGUACGCAAUGAACACUACUAUAGACCUUAUGGUGGCUAUCAAACUAUUGGAGAUGUUGUGGAGCAACUAUUGCUUGGCCAUAUACUUUUGUAAGGAAUUUUCAAUAAAAUUUUAUUUUUUUCAAUAUUUUCAAUAUGUAUAGUAUAAAAGAAGAUGCGCGCGCACAUUUCUCUUAUCAUUUUUUAUGAUCAAUGUUUAUAUGUGAGUUUUGUUAUGAUCACUUUAUAUGUUAUUACUUCGAUAUUGAAGUAUUUGUGUUUACAAAUAUUAUUUAAGGAAUUUUGGGAUGUUAGAUGUUUAACAAUUUAAAUAUGAAAUGUAUGAGUUGUUUAGUUGUGUUUAAAUAUUAAAGUAUGAGUUGUUUAGUUUGAUUGUAUUUUUACGUAUUGUAUUCUAAUUGAUUUGUAAUUUUAAAUACAUAAAUUAUUUAUUAUUGUAAUUUCAAUUGAUCUUUGUGAUUAUUAAAUGUAUAAUUGAUUUAUUAUUGAGUGAUUUUAAUGCAUUACCAUUUAAUUUUUAAAAUUAGUAUAUAUUUAGCGACAUAUGAAUGAGAUGUUGUAUAUUAGUAUUAAAUAGCAACAUUUAGUAAUGUUGAAGUGAUUACUUAUACCAAUAUUAGCAACAUUUAGUAAUGUUGGAAAUGAUUACUUUAUACCAAUAUUAGCACACUUAGAAAAUGUUGGAAUGAUUGGUUUAUACAAAUCAGCAACAUUUAGUAAUGUUGUAAAUAAUUAAUUUAUACCACAUAUGAUAAAUGUUGCUAUUUACUUAUACGCAACAAUUGUUUAUAUGUCUCCUUAAUUUUAUUAGCAACAUUUUUAUUCAAAUGUUGCUGAAAGAAUCACCACUCAGGCAUAGGCAACGUUAAAUAUUAAAUGUUGCUAAUAGUUUAGAAUCAAAUUUAAAUCCUUUAGCAAAAUAAUAUUUGCCCUAAAACACAAAUUUUUUAGUGGACCACUACCCAUAUUUAUGGAAGAGGAUUUGAGAGUAUUCCCCGAGUGUGGAAUUGAGUUUGAUGUGGAGGCAUUGUGUAGCAAUGCGAUUGAGGAAUCGAUAAUCACCUCUGGUGGAGAAAUUUGGACGAUUCGUCGGUUUCCGUUGCUAUCGGAAGAUUGUUGCCGUGAUGUUGAUUGUAGACCGUAUCGUGCAAGCAAUUUGAAUGGUAGCCAUGUGACUUACACAUACUUUAAUUAUGGAAUAGAGUGGCACCACACUUGUGCAAUCUCGUGACGGAAUUUGAUUUUGAGUUGUGAGAUCAUCGUUGGGAUUAGUCGGCGAUUGAAUGUUGCAUCGCCCUUUUUGGUGAUUGAUAUCAUGUGAGUGCUCCGGUGGAAUUUUGAUGGAUUGGGUAUACGGGGUGUAAACCCGGAUUCUUGUAUGGACAGCGCAUUGAAUCGCCUCAGAAGGAUAUAUGAUGGAAUUCUAUAUAUGUGAGUAAAACGAAGCAGAGCUAGGCUUUGCCUCAACUUGGAUGAGGAAAAUAGAACUAGAAUUUAGCCUUGUGGGAGCACUUGGGUUGUGAGGACUCAAUGAUGGCUUUUUGAGCAAGGGCAGAUUAGAGAUGGAACUCUUUUGUGAAGACUUGAGUUUGAGGAACUUUUGUAGAAGAUUCGGCUUGUGUUAUACCAAAGCCUUACGUCACGAGGGAUCUUGUGUGGUUUUGCCGUGAAGCAUUCGGCAGCUUGAGACCUUCAUGGUCUGUUGUGACAGCCCUCACUGGGCAGUUUUCGCCCAGAGCGACCGGUCCCUGGUCGGGGAGACCUGUCCCCGAGAGCUCUCCCUGCAGUCUGGGGACUUUUCGCGUUCGGGAACCGGUCCUCACUUGAGGGAUCGGUCCCUGGGAGACCGGUCUCUCCUAAGAGACCCGUUCCCGAACGGGGAACCUUCAGGACUUAGCCAAAUUUUGGCUUUCUCCCGCGGGUGUCGUGCACGUGGACCUGUCCCCUCAGCCAGGGAUCGGUCGCAUCGACCUCCCUCGCGACCAUUAGCUACGGGGACCGGUCCUUCCCUCUAGGGACCGGUCCCCGAGAGCAAAAAUCUGCUGAGUCCAUAUUUUGCCUAUUUGCUCUCGCGGACUCAACUCCAAAGCACCUUUUUGGUAUUUUGGACAUCUCCAACUCCCACAAAGGGUAUACUUUCGACAGUUAGUCGAUCCCGGAUGAAGUACAAUCCUCGGAUUUCGAGAAUUCACUUCCUUACACCCGCACUGAUCGGCUUCCUUGCCUUAACUUCCGAAAAUCCUCCUUGAUUUUCCUUUUGUCGCUUUCGGGGAAAUACUCCAUAAGCAGCAUCUCCCGGAACGCUUCCCAAGUAAGAAAAGCGUGCCCUAGCGAGCAAUUUUUCCUCGCUUGAUUCCACCAUAGCCGGGCCGACCCAUCAAGACAAUGAGCCGCCGGAUGAACUUUAUCCUUCUCGAGGGUAUAGAUAUCCUCGAACAAGGCCUCCAUCGCGGCUAACCAAUUCUCCGUCGUCCACGGGUCCUUCACGUCACCGUUGAAGGUCGGAGGGUUGAAUCGCUUAAAUGCCGUCAGCGCCGCAAACGUGCGCUGCUGCUCGGCCGCAAGUACAUCGAAAAUAGGAGCCGAUGAACUCGAUGCCAUCGGAGGAAUAGCCGUCACUGGUGCCGCCGCCAUCGCAGGAGGUGGUGCCACAGGAGCAGGCGGUGGGGGUGAAUCCCUUGGUACUGAUGCCGCCGCUGCCUGUUGCGCCAUCAUCUCGUGGAGCUGCCCUAUCUGCUCCCCUUGAAGCCGCAUAGCCCCGGCCAAGGCCGCUACUUGGGCUCGCAACUCGCGCACGUCGUCCGACCCCGACUACCCGGGCUCCUCCCGAGGCUCUGCCGGUGCAGACCUCGUAACUCUCCUUGGUGGUGCCAUCGCGUCCUGAAACGCAAUGCACGCACACAUUAGUAGUCGAAGCACGUGACUCUUACACGUUCCAAACAACUACCCAAUUAAGCGAAAGCAACAAGCAUAAUCGUUUCCACUCUUGGUGUCAUGUGGUCGGCCGCCCCACAAAGUCCCUUAGUAGACAACAAGUACGCCUUCUAGUCCAUCUCUACUUCCUUUUAGAGAAGUGUUACCAUUGACCCAAUCACUCGCUUUCGCAUAACCCAAGUUCACGUUAAACGUUUUCCUAGGUCCCUAUGGUCCCCACACCUAUGGUUCCUAGGUCAUUUCUAGACUUUUGCUUUUCACUUCUCUCUGAUACCAUUAUAUCGGUCACGCCCCAAUCCCCGCCAAUUUGGUCGGGUUCGGGUCACGUCGACAGACGCCGAACGUACAGGGCCUCCCCUGUCCGCCCAAGGCUCUAACAACAUGCAUAAAUAAGCAAUCAACAAGAGAUUUGCAUAUAUAAUACAAGGCUUGCACGAGGGCAAGUAGCAACGGAAGCGAAAGCCCUAAGCUAAAUAAUCAACAUACAUAAUAUUUGAUUAGAUUUAAACCAAAUACAAGUAAAUAAAACUACUACAUAUCCAUUCAUCCAUCAUAACUUUUUACAUUUAGUCAUCCACCAAUAACAUGAUUGUUUACAACUUUACAUCUCUAAGUCAACAAAAGAAGUUGAUACAUGUACAACAAAAAGGGGAAUGACUACCAAAAUGUACAAGGUCCCGGUGGCCGCUAUCUACGGCGCUAUACCCUUGCCUCGGUCCUCCGCCGCCCCGCUCGUGCUAGGACCUGUAGGGUUAGUGGUGUGAGAACUACAACGAAGUUCCCAGUGGACUCGACAUCCGACCUCGUUGACUUACCCACUAGAUCUAUCCAGGCAUAAGUAUUUCAAGGAAAGAAAAGUAACCAUUACUAAUACAUCUAAUACCAUGCCUGCAGAAGAAUAUCAGUGGAUACAUAUACUCGAUGCAAUAAUGAAAUAUGCAUGCAUGCUCAAAUUAUAAUUAAGCUCUGGCUCUUACCCAAUCUUACCAGUUAACCCUGUUAACCCCAAUAACUCAUAACCCAAAAUUUCUUUCUUUACCGGGGAGGCUCCAAGCACUACCGACCCGAGGGACCAUCUUCAGGGACCUCGCUCCCUGUGGUGUCGAUUUCCGGAAACACACCGCUUGAGGGGGAGCGACCUCCCUCAAGCCAAGACUUAUCAUGAGUAUCGAUCAAAUCCCCACGUUGAGGAUAUUAAGCCACAUGUCACGUUGCCACUUUUGUGAUAGGUUUUCGACCAAUGUUUUGAUGCCACUUUCUAGUCGAUCUCGUCACAAUGUCACUAUAGUUAAAUCUAUGUUUAACAUCCAUUUGUCCAAGCCCAUCUAUCUGUCUAUUGUCAUUGUCACCAUUUGUUUACUUAUGCUAAGUCCAAGUCCCACUAUCAUGCAAUUCCUAGGGUUCAACAACAUAUGUCCAUCAUGGUUCCAUUCCUCUGUAUUUUCAAAUACCCUUGAGAUAAACAUAAUGAAAACAACCAAAGUUCACAUGUGCAUUAACCCUAAUAUGCAUGAAGGAAUAAACAACCAUAUGCUCAAGAAUAGAGAAAUAGACAUAGAAGGAAAUCCAACGAUUCCGGCGUGCACCCCCCGCCUCUCGUAAUCGUGUGGGUGUAGAAUACGAAACUCCCGAAUGCUACGAACGCCGACUCCGCGUCCUAUAACCAAAUUAGUGCCCUAUUAGGCCGAUUGUACAUGAACUAUACUUAAACAUUUUCGUAACGUCAAAUGGAGUUGUCCAACGUGUUUAUUUGACCCCCAAUUAGGUUUCUACGAGGUCAAUUUGCCCCCGAAAAAUCUUAGGACAAAAGCCCCAAAUUUGAGCCCUAACAAUAUCACUAGGGUUCCCUCAAGGAUUGAUCUCAACCCUAAGCAAAUAAUAGCUCAGAAUCAUCUAAGAAGCAUCCUACUAAGAUUUUUAAGCCUUUAGAACCAUCCCUAGGGCUCCUAACACAACUUCCAAGGGUUCACCAUGAGAGCACCUUGAGCUCUCAUGGGUACCAUGCAAUUCAUGGCUCAAAGGAGCCUCUAAAGCCCUAAGGAGCACAACGCUCCAAUUCUCCAAACCAAAACCCAAACCCUAGAGGAAAAUCUUACAAAACUUACCUCUAGUCCAAGCUCCACCAAGGUUCUUCUUGUUGGAGAGCUCCUAGAACCUCCAAAGCACCAAAUCCACCUUCUUCUCCAAGUUCUUCUUCUUCUUCUCCAAGCUCUAGAGGGGUUCUAGAGAGAGAAAGAGAGAAAAUGAGAGAGGAGGAGAGAAAUGGCUGUGGGAGAGAGGGGAUGGGCCAUAUAUAGUGUUGUAAUAAUUACACUUAAGCCCCUCCACUUGUUUCCCAUUGAUCUGCCCAGACUGGGCAUUUUUCGCUUUCAGGGACCGGUCUCCCCGACCAGGGACCGGUUCCCGAACGGGGGUUUUCCAGGACUUAGCCGAUUUUCGGGCUUUUUCAGCUGUUGCGCAGCGAGGGACCGGUCUCUCCCCCAGGGACCGGUCUCCCGAGGACCGGUCUCACCACCAGGGACCGGAUGCCUCAGGAUUUCCUGGCAGGCUACGCGCACGGGGACCGGUCUCUCCUUCAGGGACCGGUCCCCGAGAGUACAAAAUCUAGGACUUAGCCAGAUUUUGAAAUCUCACUCUCUCGGGUCCCUUUGCACCAUAUAUAGGCUCCAAUACACCUAGGGCCUAUACCCACUUGUUCCACUCCGCGUUCCGCUCGUUUCGACGGAACUUGGCACGAUUUACGAGGGAUGUGGUAUGUUACAUUCUCCACCCCUUAAUUUAGUUUCGUCCGCGAAACUACUAAGUUUGAAAUUUAAAUUUCAUACCUCACUUCGGAUCCUCGAAGAGGUGAGGAUAACGCUCCCUCAUUUCGCUUUUGAACUCCCACGUUUCUUCCCGGUCAUCAUGUUCGCACCAAUGAAUCUUAACAUACGGGAUUUCGCGAUUCCGAAGCUUUCUUACUUCCCGAUCGACAACAUACGCCGAUAACUCCUCAUAAGUCAUAUCCUCUUGAAGUUCUAUCGGUAUAUACGAGAGAAUAUGAUCUGGGUCGUACACAUACUUGCGGAGUUGGGAUACAUGGAACACAUCAUGUACUCCCGCGAGCCUCGGUGGUAAUACCAACUUGUAGGCCACCGCGCCAACUCGUUCCAAAAUCUCGAAGGAUCCGAUAUAGCGGGGACUCAGCUUCCCGCAAACACCGAACUGCCUAACUCCUCGCAUCGGCGACACUUUUAGGAAUACGCGGUCUCCUACCGCGAAUUCCAUAUCCUUUCGCCGCUUGUCAGCAUAACUCUUGUGCCUUGAUUGCGCCAUCACUAAUCUUUGUCGGGCAAGGCGGACUUUCUCUUCCGCCUCCCGCACCACUUCCGGGCCAAGAACCAUCUUCUCGCCCACAUCGCUCUAGUGUAUUGGCGAGCGACAUUUCCUUCCGUACAGGGCCUCGAAUGGUGCCAUCGCAAUGCUUUCUUGAUAGCUAUUGUUAUACGCGAAUUCCGCCAUCGGUAAAUGAUCGUGGCAUCGCCCUUAUAAUCAAGCACACACGCUCGAAGCAUAUCCUCAAGUAUUUGAAUCGUCCUUUCCGAUUGACCGUCACUUUGAGGAUGGAAUGCCGUACUAAAGUCGAGCCGCGUGCCCAAUGCAUCUUGUAAGCUCUUCCAAAAUUGAGAUGUGAACCUAGGGUCCUGAUGCGAUACAAUAGACACCGGAACCCCAUGAAGUCUCACCACCUCGUCAAUAUAGACUUGAGCUAACUUGUCUCCCGACCAAGUAGUGUGGAUCGGCAAAAAGUGUGCCGAUUUUGUCAACCGGUCCACAACUACCCAAAUCGUGUCAUGUCCACCUUGUGACCUUGGCAAACCUAUCACAAAAUCCAUUGCGAUGUUUUCCCAUUUCCACACGGGUAUAGGUAGGCUUUGCAACUUCCCGCUGGAAAUCGACGCUCCGCCUUCACUUGUUGGCACGUGAGACAUUGCGCCACGAACUCUUCUAUAUCUUUCUUCAUGCCUGGCCACCAAUAAUGCAAUUUCAGGUCUCGAUACAUUUUGGUGUCGCCCGGGUGAAUGCUAUAGGGAGAUUGAUGCGCUUCUUGCAUAAUCACCCUCCGAAGACCGUCGUCCUUGGGCACGCACCAACGAUCCCGAUAUCGUAGUGCGCUAUCGGUUCCAAUGCCAAAAUCAUCGGCACUACUGCUCUCAACUUUGCCCCGCAUCUUUUGGAGAAAUUCAUCCGACGCUUGUAAUCCUUUAAUUUUCUCCAACAAGGUUGGUUGCACAACUAGGGUGGCAAGUGUUGCUGGCACUCCCACCACCACAACUUCUAGUCCAAACCGCUGCAUUUCUUUUGCAAAGCCGGUUGUGUAAUUUUCGUCGCCAAAUUCUCCGCCAACUUUCUACUUAGAGCAUCGGCCACAACGUUCGCUUUCCCGGGGUGGUAGAGAAUCGUGACAUCAUAAUCUUUGAGCAACUCUAACCACCGCCGUUGUCGCAAGUUUAGCUCCUUUUGGGUGAACAGGUAUUUGAGACUUUUAUGAUCGAUGUAGAUCUCACAAUGUUCCCCAUACAAGUAAUGCCUCCACAAUUUUAGCACGAAAACAACCGCCGCUAGCUCAAGAUCGUGAGUCGGGUAGUUCUUUUCAUAACUCUUCAAUUGGCACGAAGUAUAAGCUAUGACUCGGCCAUUUUGCAUUAAGACACACCCGAGACCGAUGUAUGAAGCAUCACUGUAUACGACAUAACUUUCUCCCGGCGUUGGCAAGGCAAGCACCGGAGUAGACGUCAGUCUGUUCUUUAGCUCCUCAAAGUUCCGCUCAUACUCGGGGCUCACACAAACUUCACCCCUUUGUGCGUAAGGCGCGUUAGUGGAGUUGUUAUCCUGGCAAACCCCACCACGAACCGCCGAUAAUAGCCCGCAAGUCCAAGGAAGCUGCGGAUUUCUGCUACGCUUGUCGGGCGAGGCCAAUCCUUAAUUGCCUCAACUUUCUUUGGGUCUACCGAGAUGCCGUCCCCGGAUACAACGUGACCCAAGAAAGUAAUCUCCAAAAGCCAAAACUCGUAUUUCUUCAGUUUUGCGUAAAGCUUUUCCUUUCGGAGUAUCUCCAACACAAGUCUUAGGUGCUCUUCGUGUUCUUCUUUGGUCCGAGAAUAUACCAACACAUCGUCAAUGAAGACCACGACACACCGGUCCAUAGCGGACAGAAGAUUCGAUUCAUUAGGUCCAUAAAUGCCGCGGGGGCGUUAGUGAGCCCGAAUGGCAUGACCGUAAACUCACAGUGGCCAUACCGUGUACGGUACGCCGUCUUAUGCACGUCUUUGGGCCGUAUCUUCAACUGAUGAUACCCCGACUGCAGAUCAAUCUUUGAAUAUACCCUUGACCCUUGCAACUGGUCGAAUAAGUCGUUAAUUCUCGGCAACGGGUAUUUGUUCUUGAUCGUCACUCUAUUCAACUCGCGAUAAUCGACGCAGAGUCGGAGUGUGCCGUCUUUCUUCUUUACAAAUAGCACCGGAGCUCCCCACGGGGACACGCUCGGCCGUACAAAGCCUUUAUCGAGCAAAUCUUGUAAUUAAGCUUUCAACUCUUUUGGCUCCACCGGUGCCAUUCUGUACAGAGCCUUCGAAAUUGGCGCUGCCCCGGGAAUCAAGUCAAUGACAAACUCGACUUCCCGAUCCGGGGGCAAUCCCUGUAACUCCGCUGGAAAUACGUCCGGAUACUCCCGCACAACUCGAAUACUUUCUAGUUCCGGGUAUUCCUCUCGAGGGUCUACAAUGGUCGCCAAGUAGGCCUUACAACCACCCUUGAUCAUCAUUUUCGCCCUCACCGCCGAUAUAGUGGCUGCGAAGCAUUUGCCUUUACAUGCCCGAUAGACAAACUCCUCUUGGUUGGGUUCACGGAACGUGAUCACCCUUCUUUCGCAAUCUAUAACCGCGUAGUACUUGGAGAGCCAGUUGAUCCCCAAGAUUACCUCGAAACCCCACAUUUCUUUCAACACUAAAAGGUCGAUCGGCAUAACUCAAUCACCUAUCUGCACUGGGCAGUCCAAGCACUCAUCGUGAACGUCGAAUGAAUGCUCAGGAGUAUUCACCGACUAAUACUCCUCGCUAUGAGUGAUCUCUAUGUUAUGAGCUUGUGCAAAUGAUGCCAAUAUGAAUGAAUGAGAUGCACCCGUAUCAAAUAUAGCUCUAGCUCUAGUGCCUCUGAUCAGAAUAAUACCUGCCAUGACGUCGUCGGGAACAACGAUUAGUGGCUCCUCCACCUGAGUGGCAAAUACCCGCCCACUAGGUGCUCGGGAGGCCUCCGGCUGACGAGGCGCCGACGAUCGUCCAGCAGAUGUCCCGGGUGGCAGUCCCGCCAGCUGUCGCUGAGUGUAUUGAACUGAAGCUGAUGACGGGGCUGGGGACGCGCCGCCCGGGCACUCUCGGCCAAUGUGGCCCAACUGGCCACACCGAUAGCACCGCCCCUCUCGCUGUGGGCAAGAGGUAACCCGGUGGUCUUCACCGCAGAUCACACAUGGAUAGGUGAUACGGCUCUGGGUCUGACUCCUACCUCCCCGCCACUGUGAUCGCGGAGGUCGCGGGGGUCGUUUAGAACUCGAUUGCCCCGCAGACCCACCAGCCGGUCGCUUCUUGGUCUUAUCUCUUUCCCUGUCUCUCUCAAAAGUCUCGCGCUCAUCACGCGCGAUGGCAUUCCAGCGCUCCACCCAAAGCGCGCGAUCGAGCACUUCCUCAUAGGACUUCAACCGGAAGGCAUGCACAACCUUGAAAAUUUCGGGUCGCAACCCGCGCUCGAAUACCUCCGCUCGGUCCCUAUCACUGUGAACCAAGCCCGACACACAGUUAAUCCUAUGCGUGAACUCCCUCUCGUACUCCUGCUGUCACGCCGCGCCCCGAAACCACUACCAAUUUGGGACGGUUCGGCCGCGGCGGCGGGCCACCGAACGGACAGCACCUCCCUUGUCCGCCCAAGGCUCAACAACAGGAAUGUGUACAAGAAUUUACCCAGAAAAUUAAAUUCUAAACAUACACAUUCACAAGGGCACAAACAGUGCCAACAAUACAAAGAGCAAGCAAUCCACAAGAUAAAGCAUGUGAAAUAAAGAGAGUACUUUACUAACUAUUACAAUAGUUCCAUCAUUUUCAUUUUCUUUAAACGAAUACAUUUUUCAUCCAAAAUACAUAGCUCUCCAAAUCCUCACCUAUAAUGAAUCUCUCUCAAUACAUAGGUGCGCUAAUUCAAAAAGGAAAGCUACUAUACUACCACAGUCUCACUGAUCGGGCGCGAUGCCCUUGCCGCGGUCCAAUCUUUGCAGCCCUGAACCUACCACUGGAAAUAGAGUGGGGUGAGAACUAUCUUCCAUAGUUCCCAGUGGGCUCGGCCGCCGACUCUGCCGAUCUCCCCACUAGGUCCAAGUGGGCACAAGUAACAACAGAUAGAUAGAUAGAUAUGUAUCUGAAAGCUGUAAAUGCAGUAGUAGGAAAACUAUGCUACUAUGCCCAUAAUCAUGAAUAUGAAUGCAUGCAUCAUAUAAUAAAGGUUUGCUACCAUGCUAACAAAUUCGAUCCAUGUUCGAAUAGCAAUGUUCAAUGACAUUAUUAAACCUUUAACCUUUCCAUUUACCCAAUCUGUGGCGAGGCCCUAGGGCUCGCCUAUAACUCACCUUUCAAUCCCAAAGUGGGGAGGGAGCUCCAAGUGCACCCAAGCCCGGGACCGUCUGCGGACCUCCAUGUGGUCCGGACCUCCAAGUGGUCCUAGUCGCGCGACACUCCGGAGUACUCGACGACAAUCCCCUCCAUGUGGGGAUUGGAUGGCUAUACCAUCCCAAACGCAGACUGUGAGCUAGAUCUAUCCUCUCCAAGUGAGGAUGCCCUACAUCUAGGGUCAACAACCCAAUCAAGUCCUCUCCAAGUGAGGAUGCUCUACAACUAGAGUCAAUACCCAAUCGAAUCCUCUCCAAGUGAGGAAGCACUAUCACUAGGGUCCACAACCCAAUCAAAUCCUCUCCAAGUGAGGAUGCCCUACAACUAGGGUCACUGUCUCAAUCGACUCAUCGACGACCUCUCCAUGUGAGGUUACUUAGGUUUACUAAGUUCUUGUCCACAAGGCAUUUUCUAAGGGAUCCACCUAUCCCUAGGUUCUCAAACCUCUAGUGUUAUUUACACUACAUUAAUGCCACUCGUCAUCAUUUAACGCUUGGAUGCCACUCGUUAGUUCUUUGACAUUAACACUACUUUCUAUGUCAUCAACACCCCUAUCGGGUUCAUCUCUUUUCUCUCGCAUCAUAGGAUCCACGUUCCGACCCAAUCCUCACCUAUCUAAGUCACCAAGCGUUCCAAGUACACUAGGUUAUCAAUUAGAAAGCAUAAGGAAUGGAGCUACUAUGCAAUCCUACAAUGCAACACGAAGAGAUGAGAUUAAAUGCAAUCUAAGACAUAAAAAGGAGUUCGAAAGCUUCGGGAUGGCACCCCCCACCUUUUACCGAUGUCGAGGCUUAAGAAAGGGUCCUCGGCGAACACUACCAAAAGGCUUUAGCCUUCUUUACCCAAAUCCAAGCUAUCCCGGCCCUAUUUUGUCGAGAACUUCACGCCGGCUCGCCGAAUGCCAAAAUCGACUUCGCCCCCACGUUUUGUGACCUACCAAUUGGGUUUCCAAGGCUUCAAAUGAGAUCAAUCUCAUACUUUCACAAAAACCCCAUUUUGGAGCCUUAGGUUUGCACCUAUAGCAAACCACCCGAUAAAUCUCUAGAUUCUUGGGAUUGAUCUAUUUAGAAGCAAGUUUAGGGUCCAUUUGACCCAUUCCAAAGCAUCAAAACCCAAAAACCCCAAGUUCUACAAGCUAGGGUUUGUAGCUUACCUCUUGAGCUACACCAAUGGAAAGGAGAGAAAGAGAGGAAGAUGCUCCAAGCCCUCUCUAGCUUGUUCUCCUCCUUCUUCUUCUUCUUCUCCUCCUUCUGCUUCUCUUUCUUCUUCUCCUUCUCUUUUGUUCUUUCUUUCCUAGAGAGAGAGAGAGAGAGAAAGAGAGGGCGAAAUGAGAGAAUGAGAGGGGGAGUGAGCUGUUGAGCCCUUCUAUUGUAACAAAAUCCACUUUAGCCACUCAACUUUUCAUCCAUUGCCCAGCCCUCACUGGGCAGUUUUCUCCCAGAGGGACCGAUCCCUGGUCGGGGAGACCGGUCCCCUAGAGCUCUCCCUGCAGUCUGGGGACUUUUCGCGCUCGGGAACCGGUCCUCACCUGAGGGACCGGUCCCUGGGAGACCGGUCUCUCCUAAGAGACCCGUUCCCGAACGGGGAACCUUCAGGACUUAGCCAAAUUUUGGCUUUCUCCCGCAGGUGUCGCGCACGGGGAUCGGUCCCCUCAGCGAGCGAUCGGUCGCAUCGACCUCCCUCGCGACCAUCAGCUACGGGAACCGGUCCUUCCCUUUAGGGACCGGUCCCUGAGAGCAAAAAUCUACUGAGUCCAGAUUUUGCCUAUUUGCUCUCGCAGACUCAACUCCAAAGCACUUUUUGGUAUUUUGGACAUCUCCAACUUCCACAAAGGGUAAACUCUCGACAGUUAGUCGAUCCUGGAUGAAGUACAAUCCUCGGAUUUCGAGAAUUCACUUCCUUACAUCCUCCCCUCCUUAAAAGGAGUUUCGUCCUCGAACCUAACUCAAUUCCUUAUUUUAAUUCAAAUUCAUACCUUACUCCUCGAAUAGAUGAGAAUGGUGCUUUCUCAUCAGAUCCUCGAGUUCCCAAGUGGCUUCACGAUCCUCGUGACUGCUCCACCUGACCUUCACAUAGGGAAUUUCUCGAUUCCUUAACUUUCGCAUCUCUCGGGCGAUAAUUCCUACCGGAAACUCUUCAUAGCUCAAGUCUCCUUGAAGUUCCGGCGGUUCAUAUAGCAUCGCAUACUCGGGGUCGUGAAUGUACUUGCGGAGAUUGGAGACAUGGAACACAUUGUGUACAUUCGCAAGCUUCAGCGGUAAAGCAAGUCGGUAGGCCACCGUGUCGACUCGCUCCAAUAUCUCAUAUGGCCCAAUGUAUCGGGGGCUCAAUUUUUCCCGCACUCCAAACCGCUUCACACCACGCAUCGGUGAAACUUUCAAGAAUACGCGGUCACCUACCGCGAACUCUAUAUCUCGACGGCGCCUAUCUGCGUAGCUUUGCUGUCUCGACUGCGCCGUGAGCAAUCUCUUGCGAGCAAGGCGGACUUUCUCUUCCGCUUCUCGCAACACAUCUGGGCCGAACUCAACACGCUCGCCUACAUCGCUCUAGUGUAUAGGAGAUCGACACGUCCGCCCAUAAAGAGCCUCGAACGGUGCCAUCUCCACACUAGCAUGAUAACUGUUGUUGUAGGCGAACUCGGCCAUAGGUAGGUGGUCACACCAACCUCCCUUGUAGUCAAUGACACACGCUCGCAACAUGUCCUCCAGAGUUUGGAUAGUUCUUUCUGUUUGCCCAUCGGUCUGAGGAUGAAAUGCAGUACUAAAGUCGAGCCGUGUGCCAAGGGCUUCCUGCAGGCUCUUCCAGAAGUGUGAAGUGAACCGGGGGUCACGAUCUGACACGAUCGAUUUCGGCACCCCAUGUAGUCUCACUAUCUCAUCGAGAUAUACUUGCGCCAACUUGUGUCCUGACCACGUAGUGUGAAUCGGCAAGAAGUGAGCUGACUUAGUCAAUCGGUCCACAAUUACCCAAAUUGCAUCGUGGCCGCCCGUUGAGCGAGGCAAGCCGACCACGAAGUCCAUCGAUAUAUCCUCCUAUUUCCAAACGGGGAUUGGUAGGCUUUGAAGCUUUCCCGCUGGAAAUCGACGCUCGGCCUUCACUUGUUGGCAUGUUAGGCACUUUGCCACAAAGCGUCCAAUGUCACUCUUCAUUCCUGGCCACCAAUAAUGCAUUUUCAGUCCUUGAGACAUCUUGGUGCUGCCCGGGUGAUCAGCAUAUGGAGAUCGGUGAGCUUCUUGCAGAAUCAAUUCACGAAGCUCUCCAUCUUUCGACACGCACCAUCAGUUUCGAAACCGAAGCGUACCAUCGGCGUCCACCUUGAAAUCGCCGCCAUGCCCUUCCUCGAUGUUUCGCCGCACCUUCUAGAGUUCUGGGUCUGUAGGUUGUAGAUCUUUAAUCCUCUCCAACAAGGUCGGUUGGACAAUGAGUGCCAUCAACUGAGUCGGGACCUCGGGAAAGACCACUUCAAGGUCCAAUCACUCCAUAUUCAGCCACAAGGGUGUUUGCUGGGUAACAUCAAAAGCGAGGUUUUUCGCCGACUUCCUACUUAGUGCGUUCGCGACCACAUUUGCCUUCCUGGGGUGGUAGAGGAUAUCAACAUCAUAAUCUUUUAACAGUUCCAACCACCGCCGUUGACGCAUGUUGAGCUCCUUCUGUGUAAACAGGUACUUCAAGCUCUUGUGGUCGGUAUAGAUCUCACAAUGGGCACCAUAUAAGUAGUGCCUCCAUAGCUUCAAGGCGAAAAUCACCGCCGCUAGCAUCAAAACAUGAAUGGGGUAGUUCUUUUCAUAGCUCUUCAGCUGACGGGACGCGUAGGCGAUUACCUUCCCGUUUUGCAUCAAUACACACCCCAACCCAAGAUAGGAGGCAUCACUGUAGACUACAAAGUCUUCGCCCUGCACCGGUAGAGCGAGCACCGGAGUCGAAGUCAAUCUUUGCUUCAACUCUUUAAAACUUCGGUCGCACUCUUCGCUCCAAACAAACUUGGUGCCUUUCUGGGUCAGGUGGGUAAGUGGAAUCACUAUCUUGGAAAAGCCUUCCACAAACCGCCUAUAAUAGCCCGCCAAGCCCACGAAGCUUCGAACCUCCAUGACAUUCGUCGGGCGCGGCCAAUCCUUGAUUGCCUCGACUUUCCUCGGGUCUACAGAAACUCCACCCGCAGAAAUCACAUGCCCUAAGAAGGCAACCUCGCGAAGCCAGAAGUCACACUUUUUCAGCUUAGCAUAUAGCUUCUCCUCCCGAAGGACUUGAAGCAAUAUUCUCAAAUGCUCGGCAUGUUCCUCGUCACUACGAGAAUAGACCAAUAUGUCGUCUAUGAAGACCACGACAAAUCGAUCCAAAUACUUCUGGAAGACACGGUUCAUUAAAUCCAUGAACGCCGCUGGAGCGUUCGUGAGUCCAAAUGGCAUGACCGUGAAUUCGUAGUGUCCAUACCGCGUACGAAUCGCAGUCUUCUGCACAUCCUCCGGCUUGAUUCUCAGUUGGUGAUAGCCGGAUUGCAAAUCUAUCUUUGAGUACACACACGACCCCUGCAACUGAUCGAACAAGUCAUCAAUUCGGGGCAGUGGGUACUUGUUCUUGAUCGUGACUCUGUUCAGUUCUCGAUAAUCCACGCAGAGUCAAAACGAUCCGUCCUUCUUCCGUACAAACAACACCCGGGCUCCCUACGGUGAUACACUUGGCCGGAUAAAUUACUUGUCGAGGAGGUCUUGCAGUUGGCUCCUCAACUCUUUCAAUUUUGCCGGCGCCAUUCGGUACGGAGCCUUCGAGAUCGGUGCGGUACAGGGAACCAAGUCUAUGACGAACUUGAUCUCCCGAUCCGGUAGUAUCCCCGGCAACUCCGUGGGAAAUACAUCCGGGAACUCCCGCACCACCGAUAGCUCCUCUAGGAUUGGGGCUACUCGUUCCACUUCCACAACAGUCGCUAAGAAUACCGUGCAACCACUGUUGACUAGCUUCCUUGCCCUUGUCGCCGACACCGUCGCGACAAAGCACGAGCUCUGACAAGCCCGAUAGGUGAAUUCUUCCUAUCCUCGCUCGCGGAAUGUGAUCACCCUGCUCUUGCAGUCGAUGGUUGCGUGAUAUUUCGAGAGCCAGUCCAUGCCCAGAAUGAUAUCAUAAGCCUCAAGCUUCGUGAGUUCCAGUGUCCGGAUAGGCAUAAUCCAGUCGCCUAUUUGCACGGGACACGACGCACACUCCGAGUAAGUGUUAAACGUCGACCCAGAGCCCUCCACUUGCCACUUGUCACUCGCUUCUAUAUGUAUGCCAUGCAUGCGUGCGAAUGAUCUACUUAUGAAUGAAUGCGUGGCUCCUGUAUCAAAUAAAGCCCUGGAGCGAACUCCGUUAAUUAAAACCAUACCUGCCACAAGGCGAUGCUCCUCCCCCUCCGCAGGUUCCUCAGCUUGGACCUGAGCGGCGAACACCCGUCCGCUCGGGGCCGAUCGCGUAACUUCAGGUUGACGCGGCCGUCGGUGGAGCUCCUCCAUAAUGAGCCGGAAUCGCCGGCGCCGAUGCAAUAGAGGGGGCAGGUGAGGCUCCUCCUCCCGGGCAAUCUCGAAUGAAGUGCCCGGGCUGCCCACACUUGUAGCACUUGCCUCGACCUAGUUCACAGCGCAAGACCGGAUGGUCUCCGCCGCAUGUCAUGCAUCGCCGGACUCCACCGCCCUUCUGUUGAGUGCGCGAAUACUUCGGGGGCUUCUUGUAAUGUGUCUGUCCCACCGAACUACCGCCACCUUGGCGUUUCUUGCCCUUGUCCUUAGACUCGGCCAAAGCCUCACGCUUCUCCCGAACGUGGGUGUCACGCCCCGCGACCGCCCGCCUAUUUGGCCGGGUCGCAGCGCCGCGAACAGAUCGCCGAACGGACAGGGUUUCCCCUGUACUGCGGACAGAGUCUCCCCUGUACGUUCAAGGCAUAGCAAUCAAUACAAUGUGCGAAGUUCCAACCAGGAACACAUUUCAAUCAAGAUUGCAUAAUGGAAGGUAUCAAACAACAUAAACACAUCCUAUAUUAUUACAUUCAUUCACAUUAGAUUCAUUUUACAUCACAAUUACAUAAUACAUUCUUUUUAGCUUCCAAAUACAAUCUAGCUUUAACAAUAUUAUUACAACUUGAUCCUUUUCAUUUUCUUGCAUCCCUAAGUAAGGCCGACUCAGGGUACCGCUAUCUCUGGUCUCGGUGG